Molecule: ribosomal RNA, 1265 nt
Filed under: Paraburkholderia mimosarum
Lineage: Bacteria; Pseudomonadati; Pseudomonadota; Betaproteobacteria; Burkholderiales; Burkholderiaceae
Description: bacterial SSU rRNA
Rfam family: Bacterial small subunit ribosomal RNA
Source: RNAcentral
UCGGACGGCAGCGCGGGCUUCGGCCUGGCGGCGGAGUGGCGAACGGGUGAGUAAUACAUCGGAACAUGUCCAGUAGUGGGGGAUAGCCCGGCGAAAGCCGGAUUAAUACCGCAUACGAUCCUUGGAUGAAAGCGGGGGACCGAAAGGCCUCGCGCUAUUGGGGUGGCCGAUGGCGGAUUAGCUAGUUGGUGGGGUAAAGGCCUACCAAGGCGACGAUCCGUAGCUGGUCUGAGAGGACGACCAGCCACACUGGGACUGAGACACGGCCCAGACUCCUACGGGAGGCAGCAGUGGGGAAUUUUGGACAAUGGGCGCAAGCCUGAUCCAGCAAUGCCGCGUGUGUGAAGAAGGCCUUCGGGUUGUAAAGCACUUUUGUCCGGAAAGAAAUCCUCUGGGUUAAUACCCCGGGGGGAUGACGGUACCGGAAGAAUAAGCACCGGCUAACUACGUGCCAGCAGCCGCGGUAAUACGUAGGGUGCGAGCGUUAAUCGGAAUUACUGGGCGUAAAGCGUGCGCAGGCGGUGAUGUAAGACCGAUGUGAAAUCCCCGGGCUUAACCUGGGAACUGCAUUGGUGACUGCAUCGCUGGAGUAUGGCAGAGGGGGGUAGAAUUCCACGUGUAGCAGUGAAAUGCGUAGAGAUGUGGAGGAAUACCGAUGGCGAAGGCAGCCCCCUGGGCCAAUACUGACGCUCAUGCACGAAAGCGUGGGGAGCAAACAGGAUUAGAUACCCUGGUAGUCCACGCCCUAAACGAUGUCAACUGGUUGUCGGGCCUUCAUUGGCUUGGUAACGUAGCUAACGCGUGAAGUUGACCGCCUGGGGAGUACGGUCGCAAGAUUAAAACUCAAAGGAAUUGACGGGGACCCGCACAAGCGGUGGAUGAUGUGGAUUAAUUCGAUGCAACGCGAAAAACCUUACCUACCCUUGACAUGGACGGAAUCCUGCUGAGAGGCGGGAGUGCCCGAAAGGGAGCCGUCACACAGGUGCUGCAUGGCUGUUGUCAGCUCGUGUCGUGAGAUGUUGGGUUAAGUCCCGCAACGAGCGCAACCCUUGUCCCUAGUUGCUACGCAAGAGCACUCCAGGGAGACUGCCGGUGACAAACCGGAGGAAGGUGGGGAUGACGUCAAGUCCUCAUGGCCCUUAUGGGUAGGGCUUCACACGUCAUACAAUGGUCGGAACAGAGGGUUGCCAAGCCGCGAGGUGGAGCCAAUCCCAGAAAACCGAUCGUAGUCCGGAUCGCAGUCUGCAACUCGACUGCGUGAAGCU